RNAcentral lists this long non-coding RNA (2236 nucleotides) under Mytilus galloprovincialis (Mediterranean mussel). The record is from RNAcentral. Lineage: Eukaryota; Metazoa; Mollusca; Bivalvia; Mytilida; Mytilidae.
GUUUAAAUAGACAUAGAACUCAUUAAUCUUUUAUUGUAGGAUUUAAUGACGCUAGCAGAAGGGUAACAUGCAAUCCUCGUGGACUAUAAAGUUCAGUAAUAAUCUAGCAAGUCAAUAUUUCUUGUUAAAAUUAGUGAAACAAUCAAUAUUUGCAUAUCUCGCUUUUGGUCCAUAACAUCGCGGUUUUCUGAGCGUUUUAUCACAUCGAUAUCAAUAUUAGAUGCUGUAAAAUCCAAUUUGAUAACGAACACGUGUAAAACACUCUAAUGUAUUUUAACAAAUUACUUGAAUUCAUCCGAGCUGUUUCGGAAUGGGUUAAUAGCUUUGUUUUUACAAAUGUAGUUUUAUCCCUAUAUAAAUCGAUAGUCUGUCAUUAAGGAGGGCCCUCAUGGGGUUUUUGAUUAUGUGAUUACUUGGCCGUUUUUUUAAUGAUUAUUUGAUUAUUAAGCAAUAUUUCAUGAUUAUUGAUUACCUAGACUGUAUUUUUAGUUUAUGAUUAUUUGAUUACUAAAAGAUAAGCAAAUAUUUAAUGAUUAUGUGAUUAUAUUGGCAAAAAAAUGGUGAUUAUGUGAUUACUAGGACCCCCCCAUGAGGGGCCUCAUUAAGGAGGGUUUGGAUGGGGGUUCAGAGAAUAGAAAAUAAUGGUAAAAAAAAUAAUAGAGAAAAAUGGAUAAAAAAAAUUAAGAAUACAAAACAAUUAGGUGCUAACCUACAAUAUAAGAAAAAAGAAUAAUGGGCAAAAAGAAUGAAAUAAAUAAAUGAAAGAAUACCUAAAUUACAGACCCCCCAUCCAGCCCCUCAUUUAUCAGAAAAUAAUUCAGUGCUAGAUGUUGUCUCCCAUUUCAAAGAAAACUCUUGUUUAAAUUGAAAUCAACGGAAUAAUUUGUAUGUGUUGAAAUACGAUAUUAGUGACGAUUGCAUUGCAAUCUACUAUAAAGAGAUAUCCUUAAUGACCAUUUGAACAAACACGGAACAAUCUCGGAAGUGUCUUUUCAUUAAAUGCUCAGUGUGUUGCUUAUUUCAUUUACUAUUCCUGGUGUAAAUGACCGAAGUUUGUUGGAGGAGAUUUCUUUGUUGUUGCAGGAAAUGGCUUUGUGGCACGUGAUUUACAAUAAAAACAUGGCGUCGGGUCCGGCAGUUCGGAACUUUUCUAAAUUUUAACAUGAGGCCAAGAUUCUAAAGAUAGUUGAGAAUUACACAUUUACCUAGCAAACCGUACUUAAAAUGAGACAUUUUUCUCAUAAGAAGCCCUAUAAAAGACUCAGUCAUAAUGCGUAUUUGGUCAAUUAGCCUUUCAUUGUAAUUUGUUUUGGAGUUAUGUUUUGUAAUCUGAAACAGACUUAAAACAAAGACAUGACACAUCUUUUGGCUAGCAGAUGAUGACAAAUGAACAAAUACCAAGCAAUGCUGAAACUAAGCAAACAUAAAAAAAUUAUAUAAACACUUUAACGGAAGGAACUAAUCUUAAGAGUGUCCAUGAAACGAGUUUCUUGGUAGCAUUUCCAGUGGCGGAUCCAGCCAUUUUAAAAAGGGGGGGGGUCCAACUAUAUGCUCCCAUUCAAAUGCAUUGAUCAGCCAAAAAAGGGGGGGUUCCAACCCCUGGAAACCCCCCCCCCCUGAUCCGUCACUGAUUUCUCAUUAGUUUAAAAAAGGGAGAUGUAGUAUAGGAUUGCCAUUUACAACACUUUCCACCAAAUAUCAAAUAACGUAGAUGUAAGCAAAUUGAUCAAUCGGCAAUCCUCGGGUGAUCGGCCGAGUAUUGACGAUUGCAAAUGGGUGUCUCCUAACGACCUUUCGCCAAUGAGCUAAAACAUCAUACCGAACAGUAAAUCCAAAAGGCGACAAACUGAAGACAGUUCAGACGAGAUUUCAGACGAGAAUACCAAUGACCUGAUUUAUGAACCACAGAAUAAACUAAUUCAAGCCCUUUCCGUGUCCGAUUUUCUCCACACGAGGAGCCUUCGUAGAUCAGCGGAAUAUAACGACUGAAUUAUUCGGGUUAAGAAUAAACGAAAAACAAUAUGGCAGACAGCAACAAAGAACGACCAACAAAUUAAUUAAAAGGUCCUGACAUUUGUGACGGGCAUAUACAGAAUGUGAGGGGAUUGAACAAGCUUCCAAAUACAACUUCAUACAGCCCGCCCAAAACCGAAGUUUGCAAAGCAUAGGGUAUACAAUGUUUUUGAGCUAAAUUAACAAAAUGGUCUUCUUACGGCCAAACAAUGUCAAAGGGGGC